This 469-nucleotide ribosomal RNA is filed under the name Candida tropicalis. RNAcentral's name for it is "SSU rRNA". It matches the Rfam family "Eukaryotic small subunit ribosomal RNA", at positions 539 to 1033 of the family's 1831-position model. Lineage: Eukaryota; Fungi; Ascomycota; Pichiomycetes; Serinales; Debaryomycetaceae. The record is from RNAcentral.
GGUUUAUUGGAAGAGGGGUAGUCUGGUGCCAGCAGCCGCGGUAAUUCCAGCUCCAAAAGCGUAUAUUAAAGUUGUUGCAGUUAAAAAGCUCGUAGUUGAACCUUGGGCUUGGUUGGCCGGUCCAUCUUUCUGAUGCGUACUGGACCCAACCGAGCCUUUCCUUCUGGCUAGCCUUUUGGCGAACCAGGACUUUUACUUUGAAAAAAUUAGAGUGUUCAAAGCAGGCCUUUGCUCGAAUAUAUUAGCAUGGAAUAAUAGAAUAGGACGUUAUGGUUCUAUUUUGUUGGUUUCUAGGACCAUCGUAAUGAUUAAUAGGGACGGUCGGGGGUAUCAGUAUUCAGUUGUCAGAGGUGAAAUUCUUGGAUUUACUGAAGACUAACUACUGCGAAAGCAUUUACCAAGGACGUUUUCAUUAAUCAAGAACGAAAGUUAGGGGAUCGAAGAUGAUCUAGAUACGUCGAUUAACCCU